UGUCUUUUGAGUACCUUCGUUUCCUCGGCGGGUUCGCCCUCCGAUUGGACAAUUUAAACCAUUUGCAGUUGCAAUCAGCGUCUGAAAAAACAUAAUAGUUACAACUUUCAACAACGGAUCUCUUGGUUCUGGCAUCGAUGAAGAACGCAGCGAAAUGCGAUAAGUAGUGUGAAUUGCAGAAUUCAGUGAAUCAUCGAAUCUUUGAACGCACAUUGCGCCCCUUGGUAUUCCAUGGGGCAUGCCUGUUCGAGCGUCAUUUGUACCUUCAAGCUCUGCUUGGUGUUGGGUGUUUGUCUCGCCUCUGCGCGUAGACUCGCCUCAAAACAAUUGGCAGCCGGCGUAUUGAUUUCGGAGCGCAGUACAUCUCGCGCUUUGCAUUCAGAACGACGACGUCCAAAAGUACAUUUUUACACUCUUGACCUCGGAUCAGGUAGGGAUACCCGCUGAACUUAAGCAUAUCAAUAAGCGGAG
Molecule: ribosomal RNA, 471 nt
Filed under: Phoma sp. 2
Lineage: Eukaryota; Fungi; Ascomycota; Dothideomycetes; Pleosporales; Didymellaceae
Description: eukaryotic LSU rRNA
Rfam family: 5.8S ribosomal RNA (bases 103-256)
Source: RNAcentral